RNAcentral lists this ribosomal RNA (465 nucleotides) under uncultured bacterium. RNAcentral describes it as "partial 16S ribosomal RNA". It matches the Rfam family "Bacterial small subunit ribosomal RNA", at positions 339 to 795 of the family's 1533-position model. The record is from RNAcentral.
CUACGGGGUGCUGCAGUGAGGAAUAUUGCGCAAUGGGGGAAACCCUGACGCAACGACGCCGCGUGGAUGAUGAAGGCCUUCGGGUCGUAAAAUCCUGUCAGAAGGAAAGAAGUGUAUGGUAGCUAAUAUCUGCCAUACUUGACGGUACCUUCAAAGGAAGCACCGGCUAGCUCCGUGCCAGCAGCCGCGGUAAUACGGAGGGUGCAAGCGUUGUUCGGAAUUACUGGGCGUAAAGCGCGCGUAGGCGGUUUUAUAAGUCAGAUGUGAAAGUCCACGGCUCAACCAUGGAAGUGCAUUUGAAACUGUAAGACUUGAGUAUUGGAGGGGGUAGUGGAAUUCCCGGUGUAGAGGUGAAAUUCGUAGAUAUCGGGAGGAAUACCGGUGGCGAAGGCGACUAUCUGGCCAAAUACUGACGCUGAGGUGCGAAAGCGUGGGGAGCAAACAGGAUUAGAUACCCUAGUAGUC